Molecule: long non-coding RNA, 565 nt
Organism: Daphnia carinata
Lineage: Eukaryota; Metazoa; Arthropoda; Branchiopoda; Diplostraca; Daphniidae
Exons: 4
Source: RefSeq, a predicted model, not a curated record
UAACGUCUAUCAAGUGUUUUACUCCUUGUGUUAGUUUUAGGAAGUGAAGCACACCAAAUAGUUAUUUUUUUUUGUAACAGGCAAUCUUGUAAGCUAUGCAAGAUGCCAAUUCCAAACAGUCACAGAUUGCUCUGUUAAAAAACUAUGGUGUUAGCAUUCCAUCGUGCUACUCUGUUGUUUAGAGAUCUAGCUUGUGAAACUUAUAAUGGAAAGAAUGCUAACCUGGAAGAAGAUCACCAGCGAUGUGCAUUCCUUGAAUCAGCACACCACUGUCCAAUUCAACUACCCUUUUGCCUAGCCAUCAAAAUCAACUUUAAUCUGAUAAAUGGAUUGUGUACCUCUUUGUUUGGUUUCCAAAGCUUAACCAACACAGGUAGACCUGGACAUCAAAACCAAUCCCUUUUGGUCUGAAAAGCCUUUACCUUCUACAGCAAAAUUACGAGCACUACAGGUUUUGCAGUAUUCAGACAACAGGUGUAGCCGUCUUUACCAGGCUUUUCGCCCCGUCCGUCUUCGCCUCACCCGUCGCCCCAUCUUUGCCUCGCCCGUCGCCUUCGCCUCGCCC